RNAcentral lists this ribosomal RNA (425 nucleotides) under uncultured bacterium. RNAcentral's name for it is "bacterial SSU rRNA". It matches the Rfam family "Bacterial small subunit ribosomal RNA", at positions 354 to 796 of the family's 1533-position model. The record is from RNAcentral.
GUGGGGAAUAUUGCACAAUGGGGGGAACCCUGAUGCAGCGAUGCCGCGUGGAGGAAGAAGGUUUUCGGAUUGUAAACUCCUGUCUUAAAGGACGAUAAUGACAGUACUUUAGGAGGAAGCUCCGGCUAACUACGUGCCAGCAGCCGCGGUAAUACGUAGGGAGCGAGCGUUGUCCGGAAUUACUGGGUGUAAAGGGAGCGUAGGCGGGAUCGCAAGUUAGAUGUGAAAUACAUGGGCUCAACCCAUGGGCUGCAUUUGAAACUGUGGUUCUUGAGUGAAGUAGAGGUAAGCGGAAUUCCUGGUGUAGCGGUGAAAUGCGUAGAUAUCAGGAGGAACACCGGUGGCGAAGGCGGCUUACUGGGCUUUUACUGACGCUGAGGCUCGAAAGCGUGGGGAGCAAACAGGAUUAGAAACCCUAGUAGUCC